Molecule: ribosomal RNA, 822 nt
Filed under: uncultured marine bacterium
Lineage: Bacteria
Description: bacterial SSU rRNA
Rfam family: Bacterial small subunit ribosomal RNA
Source: RNAcentral
CUGGCGGCAGGCCUAACACAUGCAAGUCGAGCGCGCCUUCGGGUGAGCGGCGGACGGGUUAGUAACGCGUGGGAACGUGCCCUUCUCUACGGAAUAGCCUCUGGAAACGGAGAGUAAUACCGUAUACGCCCUUUGGGGGAAAGAUUUAUCGGAGAAGGAUCGGCCCGCGUUAGAUUAGGUAGUUGGUGGGGUAACGGCCUACCAAGCCUACGAUCUAUAGCUGGUUUUAGAGGAUGAUCAGCAACACUGGGACUGAGACACGGCCCAGACUCCUACGGGAGGCAGCAGUGGGGAAUCUUAGACAAUGGGGGCAACCCUGAUCUAGCCAUGCCGCGUGAGUGAUGAAGGCCUUAGGGUCGUAAAGCUCUUUCGCCUGUGAUGAUAAUGACAGUAGCAGGUAAAGAAACCCCGGCUAACUCCGUGCCAGCAGCCGCGGUAAUACGGAGGGGGUUAGCAUUGUUCGGAAUUACUGGGCGUAAAGCGCGCGUAGGCGGAUUAGAAAGUUGGGGGUGAAAUCCCGGGGCUCAACCCCGGAACUGCCUCCAAAACUGCUAGUCUAGAGUUCGAGAGAGGUGAGUGGAAUUCCGAGUGUAGAGGUGAAAUUCGUAGAUAUUCGGAGGAACACCAGUGGCGAAGGCGGCUCACUGGCUCGAUACUGACGCUGAGGUGCGAAAGUGUGGGGAGCAAACAGGAUUAGAUACCCUGGUAGUCCACACCGUAAACGAUGAAUGCCAGUCGUCGGAUAGUAUACUAUUCGGUGACACACCUAACGGAUUAAGCAUUCCGCCUGGGGAGUACGGUCGCAAGAUUAAAACUCAAAGG